GAUGAACGCUGGCGGCGUGCUUAACACAUGCAAGUCGAACGAUGAAGCCCAGCUUGCUGGGUGGAUUAGUGGCGAACGGGUGAGUAACACGUGAGUAACCUGCCCUUAACUCUGGGAUAAGCCUGGGAAACUGGGUCUAAUACCGGAUAGGAGCGUCCACCGCAUGGUGGGUGUUGGAAAGAUUUAUCGGUUUUGGAUGGACUCGCGGCCUAUCAGCUUGUUGGUGAGGUAAUGGCUCACCAAGGCGACGACGGGUAGCCGGCCUGAGAGGGUGACCGGCCACACUGGGACUGAGACACGGCCCAGACUCCUACGUGAGGCAGCAGUGGGGAAUAUUGCACAAUGGGCGAAAGCCUGAUGCAGCGACGCCGCGUGAGGGAUGACGGCCUUCGGGUUGUAAACCUCUUUCAGUAGGGAAGAAGCGAAAGUGACGGUACCUGCAGAAGAAGCACCGGCUAACUACGUG
This 466-nucleotide ribosomal RNA is filed under the name uncultured bacterium. RNAcentral's name for it is "partial 16S ribosomal RNA". It matches the Rfam family "Bacterial small subunit ribosomal RNA", at positions 28 to 507 of the family's 1533-position model. The record is from RNAcentral.